RNAcentral lists this ribosomal RNA (551 nucleotides) under Escherichia coli. Its description in RNAcentral is "partial 23S ribosomal RNA". It matches the Rfam family "Bacterial large subunit ribosomal RNA", at positions 613 to 1164 of the family's 2925-position model. Lineage: Bacteria; Pseudomonadati; Pseudomonadota; Gammaproteobacteria; Enterobacterales; Enterobacteriaceae. The record is from RNAcentral.
UAAUGGGUCAGCGACUUAUAUUCUGUAGCAAGGUUAACCGAAUAGGGGAGCCGAAGGGAAACCGAGUCUUAACUGGGCGUUAAGUUGCAGGGUAUAGACCCGAAACCCGGUGAUCUAGCCAUGGGCAGGUUGAAGGUUGGGUAACACUAACUGGAGGACCGAACCGACUAAUGUUGAAAAAUUAGCGGAUGACUUGUGGCUGGGGGUGAAAGGCCAAUCAAACCGGGAGAUAGCUGGUUCUCCCCGAAAGCUAUUUAGGUAGCGCCUCGUGAAUUCAUCUCCGGGGGUAGAGCACUGUUUCGGCAAGGGGGUCAUCCCGACUUACCAACCCGAUGCAAACUGCGAAUACCGGAGAAUGUUAUCACGGGAGACACACGGCGGGUGCUAACGUCCGUCGUGAAGAGGGAAACAACCCAGACCGCCAGCUAAGGUCCCAAAGUCAUGGUUAAGUGGGAAACGAUGUGGGAAGGCCCAGACAGCCAGGAUGUUGGCUUAGAAGCAGCCAUCAUUUAAAGAAAGCGUAAUAGCUCACUGGUCGAGUCGGCCUGCGC